Prunus avium (sweet cherry) is the source of this 1502-nucleotide non-coding RNA. The record is from RefSeq and is a predicted model, not a curated record. Lineage: Eukaryota; Viridiplantae; Streptophyta; Magnoliopsida; Rosales; Rosaceae.
GACUUGUGGAGCAACAGUUGCGGUCCUUGGCGCGUAGACGAUAAUAUCUCCAAGACUCCACAGAAGUGGAAGAAAGAUGGCUGUGCUGCAUUCUGCUUGUGUAGCCGGAAUCCGCUGCUUCACUCCUACUGCAGAUACAUGGAACACUUGCAGAUUGAUUAGUUCACAUAAACACUCAAUGGAAGCUAGUCAUGGUAUUAAGGAAAUCCAAUUGGCCCAGAAGUCUUCUUCUGCAAGUAUUGGUCUUGGUUCCUCUACGUCGUCGUCUUCGGGGACUUACGGCAAGUCGAAGAGGGUGUGGGUGUGGACGGAGAGCAAGCAGGUCAUGACGGCUUCUGUGGAGAGAGGCUGGAACACCUUCAUCUUCUCUUCUCGAAGUCGUGAACUUGCCGAUGAGUGGUCCUCAAUUGCUUUGAUACAUCCUCUCUUUAUCCAAGAGGGAGCGAUUUUUGAUGGCGAGAACAGAAGUGUUGCCACAAUUCUUGAGGUCUCCAAUCCCCAAGAGUUAGAGCAGCUUCAGCCGGAUAAAGGGUUGGGGGAAAAUGUUGUUGUUGAUUUACUAGAUUGGCAGGUAAUACCCGCGGAGAAUAUAGUUGCAGCAUUUCAAGGGAGUGAAAAAACAGUGUUUGCCAUCUCGAAAACCCCUUUGGAAGCACAAGUCUUCUUUGAGGCCCUCGAACAAGGUCUGGGUGGAGUUGUUUUAAAAGUUGAGGAUGUAAAAGCUAUUCUUGACUUAAAGGAUUAUUUUGACAGACGAGAUGAAGUGGGCAACAUAUUGAGCUUGACCAAAGCCACUGUAACUUCAGUACAAGUAGCUGGAAUGGGGGAUCGAGUUUGUGUUGAUCUCUGUAGUCUCAUGAGACCUGGGGAAGGACUGCUUGUUGGAUCCUUUGCCAGGGGACUCUUCCUCGUUCAUUCGGAAUGCUUGGAGUCAAAUUACAUUGCGAGCAGGCCUUUUCGUGUCAAUGCGGGACCUGUACAUACCUAUGUUGCUGUUCCAGGAGGAAAAACGUGCUACCUCUCAGAGUUGAAAUCAGGUAAAGAGGUGAUUCUGGUUGAUCAGAAAGGCCAUCAACGAACAGCGAUUGUUGGGCGUGUGAAGAUAGAAACUAGACCGCUAAUCCUUGUGGAGGCGAAGCUCCAGAGAGAUUCAGAUAAUCAAACUCUAUACAGCAUCCUUGUACAGAAUGCGGAAACAGUGGCCUUAGUUUGUCCCAGCAAAGAAAUUGAAGUGCAAAAAACUGCCAUUCCUGUGACUUCACUUAAAGUUGGAGAUGAAAUUUUAGUUAGAUUACAGGGAGGGGCUCGGCAUACGGGAAUUGAAAUUCAAGAAUUCAUUGUGGAGAAGUAAGAAACGAAGAUGACACAGGUGAAAUUUGUUGAGAAUUUUCCAACUGAUAUAACUAGAUCAAUUUUUUGGUCUUGAGGUCGCUUUUGUAAUACUAUUGUGGCCCUGUUUCUACUCCAGCCCAACUUUUAUCUGCAAGGUUUGGUUCUUCCUA